GUGCCUCCCGGCUGCGUUCCCCUCCGCGGGCACGGCUGGGGGCCCGCCGCGGCUCGGCCCAGACCCCCGCGAAAGCUCGAGUCGCCUGCAGAACCGUGGCGGGAAGGCGCCCCAGACGCGCACCGGGCGGCGGGCGCGGUGGCUGCAGGUGCUCUGAGAAAUCCCGCGCGGGUCCUGCCAGUUUCUCAGGGUCUUGGAAACGGAAAACCUAGAAAAAGCUGGAGCGCUCUGGGGUGAUGGCCCGUUUGACCUCCAACCACUGGAGCUCGGCUCUACAUGAGUCUGCCGAACCCAUGAAGUUCGGGGCGAAUGCCUUUCCUUUCCCUGGCGCAAAGCCGGUGAUAGAAACCAAAGUAACAGCUGAGGAGGAAGCCUGGAUUUAUCACAUCUUAGCAGAUCACUGCACGUGUGGUCGGGAGUAUGGAGUUGCCAGUAAAACUGAAGGUCUGAGGCCAAAUUCUAGCAAAAGAGUGCCAUUCCUGAUAAUACUUUGUCAGGACGGUAAAGCAGUCCGGUAUCUUUUGAGUGGAAAGGUGUGGGACGAGCUGGCUCUUCUGUGUUUCCAGGUUUGCUACAGAUGGUUGAGAGAAGGGCUGGUGCGAAGACAGGAAUCGAAAAGACAGAUGUAACCUUGAGUUCUGUCACUUUGGGCUCAGCAUCCUUUCCUGUUAAAUAAUGGUGAGAAAGCCUAGCCCACUGAUUUCGAGAAUUGAACGUUAGCCAAUCUGGCACAGAGCCUGACCUAAGAGUAAGCACCCAGCAGUUGAACCUGAUCUCGCCCUUUUGCCAACUGGCUUGCUCAAUGUCGUGUUGCGAGGUGGGCCGCAGGGGACUUAUUAUAGUACAGAAUCGUAAACAUGUCUCGGUAUGAGUUUUUUGUUGUUGUUAACUAAUUUUUAACCGAAAAAGUAAAGAGCAUGGCGGAUUUAAAAAAAAUCCGUAAGUAGCAAGGAGUGCAAAGUAAGUUUCUAAAAGUAACUUUCUAAAGGAACAAACUUCCCCACCCAAAACCUUCAUUUCGUUGGUCGGUUACCCAGAAGCAGUUACUGUUACAUGUUUCUCUUUCUGGGUAUAGUCUGAGCUCACGCGGCAUAGGUAUGUGUUUUACAUUUGGCCUUUAUUUUAUUUGUUUACAUAAUUUCUUAUAGAGAUCAGCCUAUUUCAGCAUGUGUGCAUACAUUGUAUUCUUUUGGGGAGCUGUGUGCAAUCCCAUUGUAUGAAUUAAUGAUAUUAACAUUUAUUAACAGUCCCCUGUUACUGGACAUAGGAGUUGUCAUCAGCCAGCAGCAAUGCCAUCAUGCAUGCUGUUCAUUCCUUCAACGAUUAUUUUUUGAACUGCAAUUAGCCUGGCGGUGUACAAAAUGCAGUAGAUAAGAGACACGGGGUUUCUCCCAUCAACAAGUGGAUUUUGUAGUAUGUCUUUAUACAUUUGUCUUUGUGCAAAACCAGGAACAUAUCCUUAUAAGAUGUCUACCCAGGUAUUCCAACAUCAGGAGCAAUAAACUAAAUUCAGCAACUACUAAAUACAAACACAACCUUAGGUCCUAUGAAGAGUACAGUUCAAAUGAGGCAUUAAACGUAUAAAUGUGUAGAGGUAACUAAUAAUAAAAAAGUGAAUGAUUUACCGAUUUCAUUUUAGCUGCUUUUUAAAAGUAAUGUCUAGGGGCGCCUGGGUGGCUCAGUCGGUUAAGCGUCUGACUUUGGCUCAGGUCAUG
Herpailurus yagouaroundi (jaguarundi) is the source of this 1715-nucleotide RNA transcript. It is a transcript of the gene named alpha-tocopherol transfer protein-like, with no coding region annotated. The record is from RefSeq and is a predicted model, not a curated record. NCBI's taxonomy places the organism in Eukaryota, Metazoa, Chordata, Mammalia, Carnivora, Felidae. The transcript is spliced from 2 exons.